Molecule: ribosomal RNA, 279 nt
Filed under: uncultured bacterium
Lineage: Bacteria
Description: partial 16S ribosomal RNA
Rfam family: Bacterial small subunit ribosomal RNA
Source: RNAcentral
UGCCAGCAGCCGCGGUAAUACGGAGGGGGUUAGCGUUGUUCGGAAUUACUGGGCGUAAAGCGCGUGUAGGCGGUUCGUUAAGUCUGAUGUGAAAGCCCGGGGCUCAACCCCGGAAGUGCAUUGGAAACUGGCGAACUUGAGUACGGGAGAGGAAAGUGGAAUUCCGAGUGUAGGGGUGAAAUCCGUAGAUAUUCGGAGGAACACCAGUGGCGAAGGCGGCUUUCUGGGCCGGUACUGACGCUGAGGUGCGAAAGCGUGGGGAGCAAACAGGAUUAGAUA